GAGCCUGCGUUUCAUUAGCUUGUUGGCGGGGUAACGGCCCACCAAGGCAUCGAUGGGUUGCCGAUUUGAGAGGAUGAUCGGCCACACUGGAACUGAAACACGGUCCAGACUCCUACGGGAGGCAGCAGUGGGGAAUAUUGCGCAAUGGGCGAAAGCCUGACGCAGCGACGCCGUCGUUCGCACGGGAUGCAAGGUUGUUGCGAGAUACUGCUAGACGCUCUGUUCAGCAAGUGUGAAGCACAGACGUACGUUGCUGCUCACAUGCACGUCUAGCAGCUACUGACGGUACCUUCAAAGGAAGCACCGGCUAACUCCGUGCCAGCAGCCGCGGCUAAUACAGCGCAGGGUGCAAGSGUUAAUCGGAAUUACUGGGU
RNAcentral lists this ribosomal RNA (374 nucleotides) under uncultured delta proteobacterium. Its description in RNAcentral is "bacterial SSU rRNA". It matches the Rfam family "Bacterial small subunit ribosomal RNA", at positions 227 to 559 of the family's 1533-position model. The record is from RNAcentral. Lineage: Bacteria; Deltaproteobacteria.